RNAcentral lists this ribosomal RNA (357 nucleotides) under Gilliamella apicola. Its description in RNAcentral is "bacterial LSU rRNA". It matches the Rfam family "Bacterial large subunit ribosomal RNA", at positions 1 to 390 of the family's 2925-position model. The record is from RNAcentral. Lineage: Bacteria; Pseudomonadati; Pseudomonadota; Gammaproteobacteria; Orbales; Orbaceae. RNAcentral also lists the same sequence under 1 other name.
GUUGUAAGGUUAAGAAAUUAAGCGUACACGGUGGAUGCCUAGGCAAUCAGAGGCGAUGAAGGACGUGUUAAUCUGCGAAAAGCGACGGUGAGCCGAUAAAAGGCGCUAUAACCGUUGAUGUCCGAAUGGGGGAACCCAGUGCAGGUGACUGCACUAUCAUCUGAUGAAUACAUAGUCAGAUGAGGCGAACCGGGAGAACUGAAACAUCUAAGUACCCCGAGGAAAAGAAAUCAACCGAGAUUCCCAAAGUAGCGGCGAGCGAAAUGGGAGCAGCCCAAGCGGGUAGCAUAAUGUAUUAGUGGAAGCGUCUGGAAAGUCGCACGAUAGAGGGUGAAAGUCCCGUACAUGAAAGUAGAU